RNAcentral lists this ribosomal RNA (124 nucleotides) under Cicer arietinum (chickpea). The record is from RNAcentral. Lineage: Eukaryota; Viridiplantae; Streptophyta; Magnoliopsida; Fabales; Fabaceae.
AGGUGCGAUCAUACCAGCACUAAUGCACCGGAUCCCAUCAGACCUCCGCAGUUAAGCGUCCUUGGGCGAGAGAGAAAUUUGUAGUAAAGUGAUCGAUCCUCAUAAAUUACUGACAUUGCAGAGC